Long non-coding RNA from Bufo bufo (common toad), 676 nucleotides. RefSeq lists it as uncharacterized. Lineage: Eukaryota; Metazoa; Chordata; Amphibia; Anura; Bufonidae. The transcript is spliced from 2 exons. The record is from RefSeq and is a predicted model, not a curated record.
ACCCCUAGCAGAGUCAGUCAGCCCUCUAAACCGUAAGGAACACAACAGCUGCAAUAGGAGUGAGACUAAGAGUACUAUUGUAAGAAAUUGAAAUCAGGGGCACAACAAGAACUGUGGACAAGAUGAAACAGAUCACAAUUCUCUGUCUAGGAAUGGUCCUUUUGGCUUUACUCCUACCCAGCCAGGUCCACAGCCAGUCUACUCCAAAAUACAAUACUACCGGUACAACUCUGGCAGGGAAAAAUGGGUCAUCCUCUUCAAACUCUAGUGGAGCAUCACUCGUCACAACCUCCACGAACAUUACAACAACGCAUGGGAGUGCAGGUUCCCUGUACUCAUCCUCUGCUCUCAUCCUGCUCAUUGCCUCCGUCUUGGUUUUAAAUGUUUGCUGUUAAUAGAUGAUGUAAAUGCAAUGUAAAUUCAACUAUAGCACUCUCUCACCCCUCUGCCCUUUUUUCUUCUCAUAAUCAAGCACACCGUGGAAUGGCACAUGUAAUCCUAACCAAGUAUAAUGUACAGCCCAUCUGACCGAGAGGCUUGUCUUCACUUACUCAGGCUUCCCCCACCCGAAUGAACAUUGUGCCGACACAGGGAACUGAAAACCUUGAGCGUCUACAACACAAAGAGUCUCCAGAAACGUCCAAAAGUAAUAAUUGAAUUGAUAUUCCACAAAGAA